UAUUUAAAUAGUUUAAUAUAAAUAUUAGUUUGUGGUACUGAAGUUAUGAUUUUUUCAUUUUAGAUA
Molecule: transfer RNA, 66 nt
Filed under: Nicrophorus humator
Lineage: Eukaryota; Metazoa; Arthropoda; Insecta; Coleoptera; Silphidae
Description: tRNA-His
Source: RNAcentral